UUUUAUGUUUGGAUAAUUAUAAUUUAUUAUUUAUAUUUUAUAUUUGGAAAAUUUUUUAUUUGUAUUAUAUAUUUAUAAAUUAAUAAGUUUCAAACUGAUCAACCAAUCCAAACCAAACCGAUCAUAAAUUGUUUGGUUUGAUUUGGAUUCUAAAUUAGAAAAACCGAUAUGUAUAGAUUGGAUUGUAUUUCGGUCCAAAACCAAACCAAUCCAAUCCAUGCCCACCCCUACUAGCACCUCCUCAUAGAAUUAAUUGUUUACUCCAUCUUUAUUAGAGUUUUAAUCUGCCAUAUGAUAUAUAGUUCUUCUUGGUGCCUCUUUCUUUGAUAGGGUUAUCAACAUUUUUUUUCCCCUUUUGUACCACCUUCAUUGAUCAUAUUCAUUAAAUUAAUUUAUGGAUUCAUAGGCUUUUUGAUAGCCUCUUCUUUCUGUCUGUUUGAGAUAAUGCCUUGUAUAAGAAGCUUGAAUAGCUCUCACGCAUAGUCUUGGCCUAAUUAACUGAAUCCUUUAUUUUUCUCCUUUUAUAUUAAGUGGGUGUAUGCUUCUUGUGAAUCAAAUAGUUAGGUGAGGUUUGUGCUUGAGUUGAUUUAUGAAUUACCUUGUUUUCGGGAUGGCAAAGACAAUUAUUGAUGCUACUUUGAGUCUUAUCUUUCAUGAUUCACCCAGCAGUUUGGCUGCUGCUGCUCUUUUCUAUGUCUUGACAAAUGGCUCGUAAGUUUAAUGGAUCUUUAACAAAAUGAUGAGGAAUUUCAGCCUGUGGAAAUAUAAUAAGAUGCAAUUCUUUCCUGUAAACAGAGUUUCCAUGGUCUGUUUAGACUUUUAAAAUGCGGGGGUCUAGUACACAUCAUGCCUGUUUUAUGAGUAUAUGUAUUUUUUGUUAGCAAUUAAUUUCACUAUAUAUGUAUGUAUUUGUGUAAAUGGGUACUUGUCUAUAUAGAAGAUAAUCAUAAAAGGUCUGCUUUCUUUAUCAGGACCAAGAUGAUCACCUUUUGGUAUCACCCAAUUGCAUUCGGCUUCUAAUUAUGUUGUUGAAACCAAUCAUCUCUACCACCAUUUAAGACAAAGUACCAAAAAUAUCUUCUAGGUCUAUCGCUACACAUGGUUGCUCACACCUUGCGAAAUGUACUACCAAAAAAAUUAGACUCUAGUUCUGCUGCGAUUUUUUCCAAGGUUCCUGAGAUUAUUGUACGUUGCAAGGAAAUAAAACCAAGCUGUGGGGAUGAUACUGGAGCAGUAAAGCCAGAGUUAUGCCCUAAAUGGAUGGCGCUGCUGACAGUGGAGAAAACUUGCUUAGCCACUAUUUCUCUUGAAGCUUUGUUCAGUAUUGCAGCUGAUAAUUUUCUUGUUCUAUUGCAUAUCACCAUAUUCUUCCCUUCAGUAUGGACUACAAACAUUUAUCAUAUUUCUGCAAAUGAAUAAUCUAUCACAAGAGGAAUACUCAUUAUGUAGGUGUAAUAGCAUGGAGAUACAUAUGAUUUCAAUGUGGUACCGGUGUUCAUUAAGUGCUUGUCAAACUUUAAGAUUUUGCAUAUUGCAAGUCAUUUCAGAAUUCCCAGUACUGCUUUUCAGUUUUCUAAAUCAUCUUGCUCAGUCUGAUACACUUUAGAGAAAAUAGUUUCUGCUGUUGUAAGUUAUGGACAUAAUUUGCAAGUUCCUUGAUCUUUCAUCUUUUUGAUGACAAAUUUUCAAGCGACUUUCUUUUAUUUUGGGUUGGCGUAAAUAGCUAUGGCUUUUUCCAUAUUUGCUGUCGCAAUAUUUAUGUUAUUUUCCAUUCUUCCCUGCUGAUUCCCCUUUGGCUUUCUUUCUGGAUCUUGUCAUUUCAGAAACCACUGGUGCAGUGAGGAAAACUGGGGGCAAUUUUAAGGAAAAGUUACGAGAGCUUGGAGGUCUUGAUGCUGUUUUAAGGGUGGUAUAAACUAUCGUUCAGAUAUGGAAGUGGAUGCAUGGUCCAUGGAAAGUAGCUCGCCUUUUACCCGGGAUACAAAAGUUGACAAGGAUAUGCAAAGCUUGAUUUUGCUUUUGAAAUGCUUGAAGAUCAUGGGCAAAGAUAUUCAGAAUUAUUUGCUUGGAAUUAAAGGAAACAAGGAUCGUAUCUUUCGUGGAACUUGUUUAAGUGCCAUAAAGAUUCUUUCAGGGGGAAACAAUGAGACCUUAUUGAUUAAUUCUUCUAAGAACUACAGAGCUGUUAAUGAAGAAGGCUCCAGUCUUCUUUCUGACUUUCUUCUCACUGCUGUUAAGGAUGCAAUCAUAUCCAGUGCUUGCCACAACAAGGGCUGCCCGCCACUCUCACUUCUCUUCACCUGUGGUCUCUUCCAAACCUGAAAUCCGUAAAAGGAGACACAUUUCAACAUCUAACCUCCCUUCAAAAAUUGAGCAUCAAUGAAUGUUGUUUGCUUAACCUGUGGUGCCAGAGAGGGAUAGGGGAAGAUUGGCCUUACAUCAAACACGAUCCUCUCAAAAUCGUAGAUUGGGAAGACGUGGCUCAAAUUUUCUGAUCCAGAACCACAACGAGUAAGAUUCUCUUUCUCUUUUGCUUUAAGUAAAUGUAAUUAUACAUACUCAGAUAUAAUGUUCAAUACCCAUUUAAAUGGAGGUCCAUGUCACCUAAUUUAUAUAUCUGUUGUUCUCUGUCAUAUAGUCCUGGAGGAUAGAGAGAAAAUGCAGUAAAUUUUUUUUUUUUUCUUUCUGUUUUCGGUAUGUUACAAUCCCUUUUCUUCCCUAUUUUAACUUACUUGUGAUAAGCUUUAAUUUGCAACUUCUCUCCCCACUGAUAAAAGCAUAGUUUCAUGAUUCCCAGUAACUGAUUCAACAAGAUCCAUUUCAUCUCGGCAAGCCUUCUUGGUUUUGAAACAAAGUUCUAGCUGCACUUUCAGUCUUCACGUAGUUCAUCCAUACUAUCACAGACUCAUUGAUUGUUUGAAAAGUUGUCUAUCAAACUUCAUUUCUUGCAAUCUCAGCCCGUGGUUUUUGCAGUCUUAUCGGAUCCCCGCUUUUCACUGAUAUUCAACGUGUGGCUAUGACAUACUGCUUUCAGCAUCCUCCGCAUAACCCAUUUUGUAUAACAUGUUUAAAUUUUGAAAGGACUUUUUUAAUCCUCACAAAGAACCAAGCUCACCAUGAGAGGACGCAAUAAAUAAGACUUAAGGUUGCACUUUUCUAGGACUGAAGUUGAUAAAGGAACAGUUGUGCUUGAGGAAAGUUUCUAUUCGAGAAAUGCACCUGACAUGCUUACCAAGUCACGUCCAGUUGGUCAGUUCAAGCACUGCUUAAAUUUGCGAAGGAUAAAUAAAGCCUGAAAAUUAGAGUGAGAAAUCUGGGUUUUUUUUUUUUUUUUUUUUUUUUUUUCAUGUUGAUCAAAGUUGGAAAAUAACAAAACAAGGGGAGAAUCGUUAGCUUGUGUUUUAUUAUUGACUUGAAGAAGUCACCAUUUUUAGCAAGCGGGUCUUAUAUCACCUACUGGUUUGGAGAUGGCUAAUGUUGUAGCUGUUAAAAUAUUGGCUAUUGGGUUUAUACUAAAAAAUAAGUUGUUGCUGUCUUUAAUGGGUGUGAAGUUAGCUUCUUCAUAUAUUAGAUAUGGUUUUGCUAGCUGGCUGUAUCAGCAACUUAGCGAGUGUAAGAGAUAUGUAAUCCUUUUCAAUUUUCAGUGAGAAAAUCUAAAGAAAGGAGAGGGAGAGAGAUAAAAUCAUGCUAUUUUCUUGGGAAACACUUCUGAGCGUUAAUCUAUCUUGAGUUUUGAGUGUGUGAGCUGUAAGAGUGAGUUUGUAGAGGUGUUUCUUGGUCAAUGGAACAAGGAUUUUCUUUGGACGGUGGAUUUUCUGGUUUAUAUUCUGUAGGUGUCUUUAUUGUUUAGUAGUCUGGAUAGUUUAUACAGUUCAUAUACAGCUCCUCCAAUCUAAGACUGGAUUUUUCUGUAGGAAUUUAGGGGGAUGUUUAAAGCAUAUGACAUUUUCUGGUACUGCGAAUUGAUUCUCUGGUUACAGUUCAUACUUCACAAUUUGUUUGGAUUGAGUUGGUGUCAUUUACCUCAUUCCGCUAUUGCUGAUUUCAACAAUGACAAGCUUACAACCAUGGCUGUUUCUCAUUAAGCGUAGCACUUUGUUGAUGUUUAUUAAAUUUGAAUAUUGGAGUAUCUGCAGCAUACCAACGUGGAACUCGAACUACAAAACUUCUAUUCUCUUAUUUCGUUAUUUGAUUUUCAUCUUUUUUAUCGACAAACAAUGGGCGUCUACACACAUUCACUGCUUUUUUCCUGUAACAGAGUUUCAGAUUUUUUUGUGUUUUUUC
RNA transcript from Ziziphus jujuba (common jujube), 4284 nucleotides. RefSeq lists it as uncharacterized. The record is from RefSeq and is a predicted model, not a curated record. Lineage: Eukaryota; Viridiplantae; Streptophyta; Magnoliopsida; Rosales; Rhamnaceae. The transcript is spliced from 7 exons.